UAACGCGUGGGUAACCUGCCCUUUUUGUGGGGGAACAACUUCGAGAAAUCGGAGCUAAUACCGCAUAAUAAUAGAGGAUCGCAUGAUUCUUUAAGGAAAGAUGGCCUCUGAAGAUGCUAUCGCAAAAGGAUGGACCCGCGUCUGAUUAGCUAGUUGGAAGGGUAACGGCCUACCAAGGCAACGAUCAGUAGCCGGCCUGAGAGGGUGAACGGCCACAUUGGGACUGAGACACGGCCCAAACUCCUACGGAAGGCAGCAG
RNAcentral lists this ribosomal RNA (259 nucleotides) under uncultured bacterium. Its description in RNAcentral is "partial 16S ribosomal RNA". It matches the Rfam family "Bacterial small subunit ribosomal RNA", at positions 111 to 354 of the family's 1533-position model. The record is from RNAcentral.